Molecule: ribosomal RNA, 553 nt
Filed under: uncultured archaeon
Lineage: Archaea
Description: bacterial SSU rRNA
Rfam family: Archaeal small subunit ribosomal RNA
Source: RNAcentral
ACGGGCCCAGCAGGCGCGAAAACUUUACAAUGCUGGAAACAGCGAUAAGGGGACCUCGAGUGCCAGGUUGCAAAUCUGGCUGUCGUAAUGCCUAAAAAGCAUUUCAUAGCAAGGGCCGGGCAAGACCGGUGCCAGCCGCCGCGGUAACACCGGCGGCUCGAGUGGUAACCGUUAUUAUUGGGUCUAAAGGGUCUGUAGCCGGCCGGAUAAGUCUCUUGAGAAAUCUGGCAGCUUAACUGUCAGGCUAUCAGGGGAUACUGUCUGGCUCGAGGCCGGGAGAGGUGAGAGGUACUUCAGGGGUAGGGGUGAAAUCUUGUAAUCCUUGAAGGACCACCAGUGGCGAAGGCGUCUCACCAGAACGGACCUGACGGCAAGGGACGAAAGCUAGGGGCACGAACCGGAUUAGAUACCCGGGUAGUCCUGGCCGUAAACGAUACUCGCUAGGUGUCGGCCACGGUGCGACCGUGGUCGGUGCCGUAGGGAAGCCGUGAAGCGAGCCACCUGGGAAGUACGGCCGCAAGGCUGAAACUUAAAGGAAUUGGCGGGGGAGCAC